UGCAGUCGAACGGUGAACACGGAGCUUGCUCUGUGGGAUCAGUGGCGAACGGGUGAGUAACACGUGAGCAACCUGCCCCUGACUCUGGGAUAAGCGCUGGAAACGGCGUCUAAUACUGGAUAUGUGACGUGACCGCAUGGUCUGCGUCUGGAAAGAAUUUCGGUUGGGGAUGGGCUCGCGGCCUAUCAGCUUGUUGGUGAGGUAAUGGCUCACCAAGGCGUCGACGGGUAGCCGGCCUGAGAGGGUGACCGGCCACACUGGGACUGAGACACGGCCCAGACUCCUACGGGAGGCAGCAGUGGGGAAUAUUGCACAAUGGGCGCAAGCCUGAUGCAGCAACGCCGCGUGAGGGACGACGGCCUUCGGGUUGUAAACCUCUUUUAGCAGGGAAGAAGCGAAAGUGACGGUACCUGCAGAAAAAGCGCCGGCUAACUACGUGCCAGCAGCCGCGGUAAUACGUAGGGCGCAAGCGUUAUCCGGAAUUAUUGGGCGUAAAGAGCUCGUAGGCGGUUUGUCGCGUCUGCUGUGAAAUCCGGAGGCUCAACCUCCGGCCUGCAGUGGGUACGGGCAGACUAGAGUGCGGUAGGGGAGAUUGGAAUUCCUGGUGUAGCGGUGGAAUGCGCAGAUAUCAGGAGGAACACCGAUGGCGAAGGCAGAUCUCUGGGCCGUAACUGACGCUGAGGAGCGAAAGGGUGGGGAGCAAACAGGCUUAGAUACCCUGGUAGUCCACCCCGUAAACGUUGGGAACUAGUUGUGGGGUCCAUUCCACGGAUUCCGUGACGCAGCUAACGCAUUAAGUUCCCCGCCUGGGGAGUACGGCCGCAAGGCUAAAACUCAAAGGAAUUGACGGGGACCCGCACAAGCGGCGGAGCAUGCGGAUUAAUUCGAUGCAACGCGAAGAA
RNAcentral lists this ribosomal RNA (902 nucleotides) under Microbacterium maritypicum. Its description in RNAcentral is "bacterial SSU rRNA". It matches the Rfam family "Bacterial small subunit ribosomal RNA", at positions 56 to 968 of the family's 1533-position model. Lineage: Bacteria; Bacillati; Actinomycetota; Actinomycetes; Micrococcales; Microbacteriaceae. The record is from RNAcentral.